UUUCCGUAGGUGAACCUGCGGAAGGAUCAUUAUAGAAACUUGAACCGAUGCGCCGCGGCCCUCAGGACAGGUGGAAAAGCCGUGUUGCGGGGGCGGCUGGCGCACAUGUCCAAACCAAGCACCUGUGAACCGUACGGGAUGGCCUGGGUGAGCGCACGGUGCCGUUCCGGUGUAUACAGAAACAUAAGAAAGAAUGAACUGAAGGCGGUCUGACCGCUGAAUAACAAAACAGAAACAACUUUCAACAACGGAUCUCUUGGCUCUC
This 265-nucleotide unclassified non-coding RNA is filed under the name plant metagenome. Its description in RNAcentral is "partial contains small subunit ribosomal RNA, internal transcribed spacer 1, and 5.8S ribosomal RNA". The record is from RNAcentral.